GGAGGAAUAUUGGUCAAUGGACGCAAGUUUGAACCAGCCAAGCAGCGUGCAGGAGGACGGCCCUAUGGGUUGUAAACUGCUUUUAUAUGGGGAUAAAGUGGGGAACGUGUUCCAUGUUGUAGGUACCAUAUGAAUAAGGACCGGCUAAGUGCGUGCCAGCAGCCGGGGUAAUAAGGAAGGUCCAGGCGUUAUCAGGAUUUAAUGGGUUUAAAGGGAGCGUAGGCUGUUUGUUAAGCGGGUUGUGAAAUGUAAGAGCUCAACUUUUAGAUUGCCGCGCGAACUGGCAGACUUGAGUGCGCACAACGUAGGCGGAAUUCAUGGUGUAGCGGUGAAAUGCUUAGAUAUCAUGACGAACUCCGAUUGCGAAGGCAGCUUACGGGAGCGCAACUGACGCUAAAGCUCGAAGGUGCGGGUAUCGAACAGG
Molecule: ribosomal RNA, 424 nt
Filed under: Verrucomicrobiota bacterium
Lineage: Bacteria; Pseudomonadati; Verrucomicrobiota
Description: Verrucomicrobia bacterium partial 16S ribosomal RNA
Rfam family: Bacterial small subunit ribosomal RNA
Source: RNAcentral